AGCAGGGGCGGGCCCCUUCUGGAAGGUUCUAAGAUAGGGUAUAAGAGGCAGGGUGGCGGGCGGAAACCGGUCUCAUUGAACUCGCCUGCAGCUCUUGGGCUUUUUGUGGCUUUCUUCGUUAUUGGAGCCAGGCCUACACGCCAGCAACCAUGUCCAAGGGACCUGCAGUUGGUAUUGAUCUUGGCACCACCUACUCUUGUGUGGGUGUUUUCCAGCACGGAAAAGUCGAGAUAAUUGCCAAUGAUCAGGGAAACCGAACCACUCCAAGCUAUGUCGCCUUUACGGACACUGAACGGUUGAUCGGUGAUGCCGCAAAGAAUCAAGUUGCAAUGAACCCCACCAACACAGUUUUUGAUGCCAAACGUCUGAUUGGACGCAGAUUUGAUGAUGCUGUUGUCCAGUCUGAUAUGAAACAUUGGCCGUUCAUGGUGGUGAAUGAUGCUGGCAGGCCCAAGGUCCAAGUAGAAUACAAGGGAGAGACCAAAAGCUUCUAUCCAGAGGAGGUGUCCUCUAUGGUUCUGACAAAAAUGAAGGAAAUUGCAGAAGCCUACCUUGGGAAGACUGUUACCAAUGCUGUGGUCACAGUGCCAGCUUACUUUAAUGACUCUCAGCGUCAGGCUACCAAAGAUGCUGGAACUAUUGCUGGUCUCAAUGUACUUAGAAUUAUUAAUGAGCCAACUGCUGCUGCUAUUGCUUACGGCUUAGACAAAAAGGUUGGAGCAGAAAGAAACGUGCUCAUCUUUGACCUGGGAGGUGGCACUUUUGAUGUGUCAAUCCUCACUAUUGAGGAUGGAAUCUUUGAGGUCAAGUCUACAGCUGGAGACACCCACUUGGGUGGAGAAGAUUUUGACAACCGAAUGGUCAACCAUUUUAUUGCUGAGUUUAAGCGCAAGCAUAAGAAGGACAUCAGUGAGAACAAGAGAGCUGUAAGACGCCUCCGUACAGCUUGUGAACGUGCUAAGCGUACCCUCUCUUCCAGCACCCAGGCCAGUAUUGAGAUCGAUUCUCUCUAUGAGGGAAUCGACUUCUAUACCUCCAUUACCCGUGCCCGAUUUGAAGAAUUGAAUGCUGACCUGUUCCGUGGCACCCUGGACCCAGUAGAGAAAGCCCUUCGAGAUGCCAAACUAGACAAGUCACAGAUUCAUGAUAUUGUCCUGGUUGGUGGUUCUACUCGUAUCCCCAAGAUUCAGAAGCUUCUCCAAGACUUCUUCAAUGGAAAAGAACUGAAUAAGAGCAUCAACCCUGAUGAAGCUGUUGCUUAUGGUGCAGGUAACAAUGGUAUCUCAAUUAACCCUAAAGGCAGGCAGGCCCAAGGUGACUCGCUGUGAUGAGUGAUUGUUAAACAUUCGUAGUUUCCACCAAAAGCUUGGCUAAUGAUGGCAACACCUUCCUUGGAUGUCUGAGCGAGUGAUAGUUAAAACAGGAGCUGUGUACUGGGUUUUCUUUUAACUUCUUUUAACGUUAACUUUUUGUUUGCUAGCUGUCCAGGCAGCCAUCUUGUCUGGAGAC
This 1509-nucleotide small RNA is filed under the name Pan troglodytes (chimpanzee). RNAcentral describes it as "retained intron". The stretch from base 1320 to 1407 matches the Rfam family "Small nucleolar RNA SNORD14". The record is from RNAcentral. Lineage: Eukaryota; Metazoa; Chordata; Mammalia; Primates; Hominidae.